RNAcentral lists this long non-coding RNA (555 nucleotides) under Parus major (Great Tit). RNAcentral describes it as "lncRNA (ENSPMJG00000004486.1)". The record is from RNAcentral. Lineage: Eukaryota; Metazoa; Chordata; Aves; Passeriformes; Paridae.
GAGAAAUUUCAGCAACAAACAACACACAAACAACAAAACCAUAAAUCAAAACAAGGCGACCAAAUCCAAUUCCUCCUCAUCGGCACCGUCAGAACCAGAAUUCCUCCGCGAUUCCGCUUCACCCUCCCCCCUGGGGAGACAAACCCAUCCGAUUGUCCCCAUCCCUGAGCGUCCCCUGUCCCCUCUGGCAGGACAUGUUUGGGUUUUUCGGCAGCCUGGACACCAAAGGCACCAGCUACAAGUACGAGGUGGCGCUGGCGGGGCCGGCGCUGGAGCUGCACAACUGCAUGGCCAAGCUGCUGGCGCAUCCCCUGCAGCGCCCCUGCCAGAGCCACGCGGCCUACGCGCUGCUGGACGGCGGGGACAGCCCCGACAGCGAGGCCACCGUCUGAGGGACAGCGUGGUGGCACCUUGGGGACAGCCUGGUGGUGCCCUGGGGACAGGGGGUGGCACCUCGGGGACAGCCUGGUGGCGCCCUGGGGUGGUUGGUGGAGUGUUGUGUACGGGGAAAAUGAAGAGGUUUCAUCAUUUGUGGUGUUUUGGGUCAUUUUGGGU